UGGCAAAAGCAGGUUUUAGCGAGUGC
Molecule: non-coding RNA, 26 nt
Filed under: Homo sapiens (human)
Lineage: Eukaryota; Metazoa; Chordata; Mammalia; Primates; Hominidae
Source: RNAcentral